CGCGGCAGACUGUCAUGGGGUCGCCUUGUUCAUUCUCCCUMCCGUCUGGCGGGAAAUUUCGCCUGGGAGGGAAGUGCGUAGUCGGCUUUGUCUGUGCGGUUCUAUCCAAGCUGGGAAACAAGAUCGGUCCCAUGAUGCGUGUUUUCUGCUUGCCCUDUUGAUAAUUUUAUUGUCUCCAGGGCAACCGAAUUGUUGGUGAAACCCUUGUGCAUCCCACGGCGUUUUUGCCGUGGCACCGCACGCGGGUGUUGUCGGCUCUUACGGAUGCUGUGUCCACGAUVAGUUCUGUAGGCCACUGGUCCACAGGCUUUGAAAGGUCCCUUGUACGGAUCAUUAGUCCGUCGAUCGCCCGUCAUGUUGGUUCUGCCUUCAUGCCGGAGCGGUGCGUGGGUUGCCUCUCUGACCGAAUGAGCAGCGAUUGUCGGCUAGUGUUGUCAAAUGGGCCUCCUCUCCGGGGCGGKUCSKKAMASAAMSWRCCKRCYCWCKYUYAAKAMRURC
This 498-nucleotide unclassified non-coding RNA is filed under the name Rhynchospora chapadensis. RNAcentral's name for it is "partial external transcribed spacer 1F". The record is from RNAcentral. Lineage: Eukaryota; Viridiplantae; Streptophyta; Magnoliopsida; Poales; Cyperaceae.